AGCGGCAGAGGGUGGUGCAAACAGACAACGCCCUCGCCUUUUACUAGGGCGUUCCGUGUUCCACCCUCACACCAAUGUCGCUUAGCCAAUUUUUCAGAUCUCAGCUUGUCCUGAGUU
RNAcentral lists this small nuclear RNA (117 nucleotides) under Heterobasidion irregulare TC 32-1. Its description in RNAcentral is "U5 spliceosomal RNA". It matches the Rfam family "U5 spliceosomal RNA". Rfam says of the family: U5 RNA is a component of both types of known spliceosome. The precise function of this molecule is unknown, though it is known that the 5' loop is required for splice site selection and p220 binding, and that both the 3' stem-loop and the Sm site are important for Sm protein binding and cap methylation. The record is from Rfam by way of RNAcentral. Lineage: Eukaryota; Fungi; Basidiomycota; Agaricomycetes; Russulales; Bondarzewiaceae.